This 516-nucleotide ribosomal RNA is filed under the name uncultured bacterium. RNAcentral's name for it is "partial 16S ribosomal RNA". It matches the Rfam family "Bacterial small subunit ribosomal RNA", at positions 28 to 523 of the family's 1533-position model. The record is from RNAcentral.
GACGAACGCUGGCGGCAUGCCUAAUACAUGCAAGUCGAGCGGAGUUGAUAGAAAGCUUGCUUUCUUGAUACUUAGCGGCGGACGGGUGAGUAACACGUAGGCAACCUGCCCUCAAGCUUGGGACAACUACCGGAAACGGUAGCUAAUACCGAAUACUUGUUUUCUUCGCCUGAAGGAAACUGGAAAGACGGAGCAAUCUGUCACUUGGGGAUGGGCCUGCGGCGCAUUAGCUAGUUGGUGAGGUAACGGCUCACCAAGGCGACGAUGCGUAGCCGACCUGAGAGGGUGAUCGGCCACACUGGGACUGAGACACGGCCCAGACUCCUACGGGAGGCAGCAGUAGGGAAUCUUCCGCAAUGGGCGAAAGCCUGACGGAGCAAUGCCGCGUGAGUGAUGAAGGUUUUCGGAUCGUAAAGCUCUGUUGCCAGGGAAGAACGCUUGGGAGAGUAACUGCUCCCAAGGUGACGGUACCUGAGGAGAAAGCCCCGGCUAACUACGUGCCAGCCGCCGCGGUAA